AUUAUCCCUGGUAAUAAGCGAGCCUGUAAAUCAAUAUUGAAUAUGGCGAUAAAAACUCGAGGCAUCCAUGUGAUGGGAUUAUACUUGAGACGGGAAGUAAACUCGUUUUUGCGUUAGAUCUUCCAGACAUUGAAAUCGAAAGUGAAAGUAGGAUGGCAGACGACCUUGGGCCGGGAGGUGUCGCUGUCAACCGCCCUUAGCAACAGACGACAACAACAGCACUUCGACACAUCCUGAAGAUUUUCAACGUAUUUCGUGAAGUCUUGUACCCAUUCAGCAGAAUCAUUCCACGUCAUUUCAUUUCGCCGUGAAGUUCUUCGAUGAGACGACAAUAUACACAUAAGGCAUGUGUGUGCAUAUGAAUCACAUAGUGCUUGGUGACAAAAGAAGCUAAGUUGUGAUGGCCAGCCACGAUAAGGACAGUGGACAUCUGGCCACUUCCAGACGAAAGUCUGAAGACAACAUGGCCCCUUCCAGUGGGCAGCCUGGAGGUCUGGUGGCCCCAUCCAGUGAACAGCCUGAAGGUUGGUUGGCCCCAUCCUGUAAGCAGCCUGAAGGUC
RNAcentral lists this long non-coding RNA (560 nucleotides) under Haliotis rubra (blacklip abalone). RNAcentral describes it as "uncharacterized LOC124273819, transcript variant X3". The record is from RNAcentral. Lineage: Eukaryota; Metazoa; Mollusca; Gastropoda; Lepetellida; Haliotidae.